GUUCAGUGGUUAGAACGUCAGUCUGCGGACUGAAGAGUCUCAGGUUCGAUUCCUGG
Molecule: non-coding RNA, 56 nt
Organism: Myotis lucifugus (little brown bat)
Lineage: Eukaryota; Metazoa; Chordata; Mammalia; Chiroptera; Vespertilionidae
Source: Rfam